Bactrocera neohumeralis is the source of this 1008-nucleotide long non-coding RNA. RefSeq lists it as uncharacterized. The transcript is spliced from 3 exons. Lineage: Eukaryota; Metazoa; Arthropoda; Insecta; Diptera; Tephritidae. The record is from RefSeq and is a predicted model, not a curated record.
AAACUGAAAAAAACUCGUUUUCGAUCCUUUAAUUGCAUAAUAAUUAUUACAACAAGCCACUGCACAUUUCAUUUUAAGAAAUUUAUAUAUUUAUGCUUAGAAAUUUAAAUAAAUACAACAAACAGUACACUUACACUGGUUUUCUUCAUUUGAACAAUUUCCACACAUGCUACUCUAUUUAUUGUGGAUGUGCCUAAAACUAAUUAUAUACAUAUUUUCUCGCAACAAUAUUCUAAACAUUCUACUGAAAUAUUUCCUGCAAAGACGAAUGAAUUAAUAUUAUUUUGGGAAUUUCAAAAAGUGUUUACUUUUCUGUUUACAAUUUGUAUGCAAGAAUGAUAGAAAUAAGAUUGCGCAAUGCGCAUGUUUGCUUUCAGUCAGCUGUUCUUGGUGACGUCACGGUUGACUUAUUAUUCGCGCGCGCCUUUGAAUGUGAAAGAAAUUUGCAGUUUGAAAUGGGUUUAAGUUCGCGGAGUCUAACAAAGUUGCUACCUAGCGCUUUUCUCACGUUAACCAGAUUAACUCCUGCAGAGGCUAAUGAACGGCAGAAAAGGAUGGAGUCUCGUUUAAACCACUGUUUCUUAUCCUAAUUGCAAUAUUUUUCAACGUGUGUCAGUUGAUCUAAAUUCCACUGACCCAAUUGAAAAAAAUGAUGACUUGAAGAUUCUCAACAACGACGGGCUUGAAAAUUUGGCUGGGUACAUCUGCCACAAACUUAGUAAAGACAACCCCGAAAUUUGUGCCAAUUCAGAAAAUUGAUCGUCUUAUACCUGGGUGGAUCACCUUUCUGAAGGAGGACUCUCAAAACCAACAGAUAUGUUGAUGGAGCAUAUGAGGCUGCGUGAGACAAUAGGCUUUUUACCUCCAACAAAAAAGCCGAAAAAUGUUACCAAAAUGGAUCAGCCCACCUACAGCGAGACAGCGAAAUUAAUGCAAGCCAAUACAACGGUUAGACCCAACGCAAGCGAAGCUUGGGUGGACGUUGUUAAGAAGCGAAGACCACUCGAA